CCUUACCUGCAGGUGCAGUUGGAAAUUCUUGCUAAGCGAUCCAGAGGCUUUAGAAAGUCAAGGAAGCUGAAAGAGCCGAAAAACUGCAGUGAGAUUUAGAGAAGCUUCAUUUGAAACUUCAGACUAAAGCAGGGUUACCGCUGGAAGUGAUUUGUAAUUGAAGAAAUGGAGUAGAAUACGGGAAGCACUUGCAGCACUGCUUUCACAAUUCCUCGGUAUUUCUAAAGGAGUUUUAAACUCUAAAUUAGUCAAGAAAUUUGGUGGUCAAAAUUUCCUAGGCUGGAGGAAAGAGGUCUUGAUGGGAUUAAGGGAUUUGUGUCCCAAAAGGUGUUAUACAUACAUCAGGUCUUCCAAAGGUGGCAAUGUCUGGCUAAACAAGCAGCAAGCCUGAACCAGCAAGGAAUGCAGCCCAGGCUUUGUGGCUUCAGGCAAUGAAGAGGCUGAUAAGAAAAUGAGGGAAUGCAAGUGCCAGAGUGCCUGGAGCCCCGGGAUAAGGAUAUCGUGAGGAAGUUGUUCCCUGCAGGAAGGCUGCAGCUGAGCUGCUCUCAGGAGCUCCAGUCCUCGAAUGAGGUUAAUGCUAAAUGGUUUCUCACUGGGGCUUCUCACAUCAAGUUCUGCUUGUGGACCUGGCUCCUUCUGCCAACAGUAAUUUUGGGAAUGGCACUCAGGGAGAUUCCAAAUGCCAGUUGUGCUGUGGCUGACCUACAGAGAAAAACUCACCUGGACAGGGUGAGAAGGGAUUAUUUUGUGAAUUGCUGUUAUACUGACACUGGGAGUUACUGCUGUGCAGGAACCACAAACACUUCAAUUUAGUCACAAUGACCCUGAGUAAAGACAAAUCCUGGCUGUUCUUGCCAGCCAAGAAGAAAAUAUCAUCAGCUACUGGUUCGAAUUUUUUCCUUUUUCUUGUUUGCUGCAAGUAAAUGUACUUUGAGGCUGCUUGAUUGGAGCAGAAGUGAUGGAUUAAGCUAUUCUGGAAGGGAUGCCCAGAUUCUUUUCCAUCUGAUCCUGAAUAUCCAUGCAGAAUGUUUUUCUUCUGUAUCGAGUAGGACACAGAAAGAGAGAUUGUAUUCCUGGGAAAAGUAAAAGUUUUGAAUAAAUUUUCUUUUUGCUCUAAGGAAAAUCUGCAUGCAUUCAGUUAUUUUAGAAACCAGCACAGAAUUCUUGAUUUCAUCUCUAUCAUGUCAGUAAGCUUAGUUACCAUGCCAGGAAAAGCAUGGCUGGUUUUAGAGGUGCUGAUAUUCUCAUGGAUCUUUCAUGGCUUUAAAUAUUUAAUCCCUGCUUAUAAUUCUCAAAAUCACUUUAAAACAAACAUUAUCAAUGCUUUUAUGUGAUAAGGAAUAGUUGAAAUAUCAUAAUUUGCCAUGGAAACAUCUUAAAUUUCAUGAGAGGACGAAGGAG
This is a non-coding RNA of Sturnus vulgaris (Common starling), 1401 nucleotides long. Lineage: Eukaryota; Metazoa; Chordata; Aves; Passeriformes; Sturnidae. The record is from RefSeq and is a predicted model, not a curated record.